Molecule: ribosomal RNA, 253 nt
Filed under: uncultured prokaryote
Description: partial 16S ribosomal RNA
Rfam family: Bacterial small subunit ribosomal RNA
Source: RNAcentral
UACGAAGGGUGCAAACGUUGCUCGGAAUCAUUGGGCGUAAAGCGCACGUAGGCGGCCUUGUAAGUCGGAUGUGAAAUCCCACGGCUUAACCGUGGAAGUGCAUCCGAAACUGCGAGGCUCGAGUAUGGAAGAGGGUCGCAGAAUUCCCGGUGUAGAGGUGAAAUUCGUAGAUAUCGUGAGGAAGACCAGUGGCGAAGGCGGGUCUCUGGACAGUUCCUGACACUGAGGCACGAAGGCCAGGGGAGCAAACGGG